CAGUAGCCGCGGGAAUACGUAGGGUGCAAGCGUUAAUCGGAAUUACUGGGCGUAAAGCGUGCGCAGGCGGUUAUAUAAGUCAGAUGUGAAAUCCCCGGGCUCAACCUGGGAACUGCAUUUGAGACUGUAUAGCUAGAGUACGGUAGAGGGGGAUGGAAUUCCGCGUGUAGCAGUGAAAUGCGUAGAUAUGCGGAGGAACACCGAUGGCGAAGGCAAUCCCCUGGACCUGUACUGACGCUCAUGCACGAAAGCGUGGGGAGCAAACAGGAUUAGAUACCCCCGUAGUCCCUGUCUCUUAUAC
This 301-nucleotide ribosomal RNA is filed under the name uncultured bacterium. RNAcentral's name for it is "partial 16S ribosomal RNA". It matches the Rfam family "Bacterial small subunit ribosomal RNA", at positions 509 to 807 of the family's 1533-position model. The record is from RNAcentral.